This 200-nucleotide ribosomal RNA is filed under the name uncultured bacterium. Its description in RNAcentral is "partial 16S ribosomal RNA". It matches the Rfam family "Bacterial small subunit ribosomal RNA", at positions 524 to 723 of the family's 1533-position model. The record is from RNAcentral.
UACGGGGGGAGCAAGCGUUGUUCGGAUUUACUGGGCGUAAAGGGCUCGUAGGCGGUCUGUCGCGUCGGGAGUGAAAACUCAGGGCUUAACCCUGAGCCUGCUUCCGAUACGGGCAGACUAGAGGUAUGCAGGGGAGAACGGAAUUCCUGGUGUAGCGGUGAAAUGCGCAGAUAUCAGGAGGAACACCGGUGGCGAAGGCG